RNAcentral lists this transfer RNA (71 nucleotides) under Camelus bactrianus (Bactrian camel). It matches the Rfam family "tRNA". From Rfam's summary of the family: Transfer RNA (tRNA) molecules are approximately 80 nucleotides in length. Their secondary structure includes four short double-helical elements and three loops (D, anti-codon, and T loops). Lineage: Eukaryota; Metazoa; Chordata; Mammalia; Artiodactyla; Camelidae. The record is from Rfam by way of RNAcentral. RNAcentral also lists the same sequence under 1 other name.
AGGGUAUAGCUCAGUGGAAGAGCGCACGCUUAGCAUGCACAAGGUCCUGGGUUCAUUUCCCAGUACCUCUA